RNAcentral lists this long non-coding RNA (905 nucleotides) under Mus musculus (house mouse). Its description in RNAcentral is "prostaglandin-endoperoxide synthase 2, opposite strand 2". Lineage: Eukaryota; Metazoa; Chordata; Mammalia; Rodentia; Muridae. The record is from RNAcentral.
GUUGUGAAAAAGCCGGCUUUUAAUGAGUUGAUGUGAAAAGCUGCACGCACAUUAGACUUUUUUUUCCUGGUGUCCCAGAGGGAGAAGGCAGCCUGGCAGGUCUGCAUCCUUUGAGUACCACCUCUGCUGCUACUUACAGGUUAUAUGAAGCUUUCCUGUUUCCAGGGACACAUGUUUUUGUUUGGCUCCAUAGUGAAGCACCCUGACUUCUCCAGGACAGCCACAUCACAAAGGAUGGAGGCCAAUAAGAGCUGACACAAGGCUCAUCCCAGCCUUUGAGACAUGCUGUACUCUUGGAACUUUCUCGACAAAAGAAAACAUGCAUAAGACUCCUCACCUCUCUGCUUCUGCCCAUAAAACUUUCCUCUGAUUCAAAGGAAUCCAGCCAUCUCUCGUUAACUCACUCAGCCUUGAUUCAUUUAAUCACUCUAAAGCUCUGCUAAGUACUUGUUAUGUGCUGUGAAUGAAACUGUUGCUAAGUACAAGCAAAUAAACAUUGCCACUUUCCUAAUGUGGUAUCUAACAGGCACAGGGUAGUGAAAUGAGCCCUAUGGAAGAGCUGUGGGCAGGGCAACCUAAAGGAGGUUGACAACUUAAUGGCAAGUAGGAGAGCAUUUUUGAGAGAGAGUGUACUUAAAUUACCAUUCAAAUGUAAGAAAACUUAGACUGCAAAAGUGGGAAGGAAGGUCUUUGGGAGAGAAGAGUAAGAUUCUGAAGAUCUUGAGAUACAAAGAAAAAAAAUGAAACAUUUAGGAUAAUGGCUAGCAGAAAAUUUGAAAGUCAGGAGAGUGAAAGCUUCAGUUUUGCAGUCAAUCUUAAAUAUGAAUCUGAAUGUAUAUUUCCCUUCCUGGAAACUUUUCACUAGCUUCCAAACACUUAUGGAAUAAAGAAUGUAUGUCAGUGUU